RNAcentral lists this ribosomal RNA (92 nucleotides) under uncultured bacterium. Its description in RNAcentral is "partial 16S ribosomal RNA". The record is from RNAcentral.
CGUAACCUCUUUGGAGCGGGAAGAAUAGCGCUUGGGUGAAUAAUCCAGGCGCCUGACGGUACCGCUAGAACAAGACACGGCUAACUCUGUGC